Non-coding RNA from Salmo salar (Atlantic salmon), 48 nucleotides. Lineage: Eukaryota; Metazoa; Chordata; Actinopteri; Salmoniformes; Salmonidae. The record is from Rfam.
CCAAAGGCUCUUUUUAAGAGCCACCUAAUACAACUAAAUAAAUGUGCG